GCGGCUGUGCUGGAACUGGCAGACAGGCACGUUUGAGGGGCGUGUGAGUUAUCUCGUAUGGGUUCAAGUCCCAUUAGCCGCACCA
This 85-nucleotide transfer RNA is filed under the name Clostridium sp. Its description in RNAcentral is "tRNA-Leu". It matches the Rfam family "tRNA". From Rfam's summary of the family: Transfer RNA (tRNA) molecules are approximately 80 nucleotides in length. Their secondary structure includes four short double-helical elements and three loops (D, anti-codon, and T loops). Lineage: Bacteria; Bacillati; Bacillota; Clostridia; Eubacteriales; Clostridiaceae. The record is from RNAcentral. RNAcentral also lists the same sequence under 4 other names.